This is a long non-coding RNA of Zeugodacus cucurbitae (melon fly), 653 nucleotides long. RefSeq lists it as uncharacterized. The transcript is spliced from 3 exons. The record is from RefSeq and is a predicted model, not a curated record. NCBI's taxonomy places the organism in Eukaryota, Metazoa, Arthropoda, Insecta, Diptera, Tephritidae.
UGAUCGAGGAAGAUUAAGAGAUUGCAUAUGAAGAUGGACAGUUCGAGAUGAACGAAUGAUAUAUGACAUUUUGGGGCACAUUGCGCUUAUAUGAUAAAUUUUUAAUGAUGCUGACAUUUGUCGAAGGACGUAGUCAAUAAAGAACACCGCAGCGCUCAUGACAGCCACAAAAUCGCAUAGCAACAACUAUACUACAAGGCAGUGGUGCGCAGCAUAAACAACAACACAACAACCCAACUAUAUUCAACAUUCUAUAGCUCUAUAUUGUUGCAUAGAUCUGCCUGUCUUGCCUUGCAAAUCGCGAAAACUUAAAAAUAACAAAUAUAUUUGCUCUACAAGAUAUGAAUCAACCACAACCAAGCGGUGACGAAUAUUGCUGCUGCUGACGUUUGACAAAUGUAACCGCGUAGAAUUAAACAACAUUUCAUUUGUUUUUGUAUUUAUUUGUUUAAAAUUUCCUUUAAUCAUCUGUGUUAUAUGUACUUGAGCGCGUCUAAUGCCAACUAAUGAUUAGUAAUGCUAAAUCGUAUGUAAACUACUAACCAACAGCUAAUCAUACAAAUAAUGAUUCAUUACGGUAAGUGCCAAGAAAGUGUAAAUAUUAACGGUGAAUUAUGGCGCACAUCUGCUAGGCAAAUUGUGGCUCGAGAAUA